This 426-nucleotide ribosomal RNA is filed under the name uncultured bacterium. RNAcentral describes it as "bacterial SSU rRNA". It matches the Rfam family "Bacterial small subunit ribosomal RNA", at positions 354 to 796 of the family's 1533-position model. The record is from RNAcentral.
GUGAGGAAUUUUCCGCAAUGGGCGAAAGCCUGACGGAGCAAUGCCGCGUGAAGGAUGAAGGCCUAUGGGUUGUAAACUUCUUUUCUCAGAAAAGAAUUAUGACGGUAUCUGAGGAAUAAGCAUCGGCUAACUCUGUGCCAGCAGCCGCGGUAUGACAGAGGAUGCAAGCGUUAUCCGGAAUGAUUGGGCGUAAAGCGUCUGUAGGUUGUUUAAAAAGUAUUCUGUCAAAGAUUAGGGCUUAACCCUAGAUAGGCAGAAUAAACUUUUAAGCUAGAGGUUGGUAGAGGCAGAGGGAAUUCCCAGUGGAGCGGUGAAAUGCGUAGAUAUCGGGAGGAACACCAAAGGCGAAGGCACUCUGCUGGGCCAAUACUAACACUGAGAGACGAAAGCGAGGGGAGCAAAUGGGAUUAGAAACCCCAGUAGUCC